UCAUUUUAAACCCAAACUAUGUUGCAACAGUAGAUAAGCUGUUCCUUUUUAAAACUGGAGGGUCAAUCCUUUCCCACUGAUCAAGGAGUGAAGUCAGUGGACUCUGUGAGGCGUGGUUCAUGAGGUUUCCCAUGCCUAGUCUUGGAGCUUAUAGAGAGAGACAACUGGAUCUUUAAGAUGACAUCCCAUGCAGAAGGUCUGAGACUCAAGCUCAUGGACCUCAUGCUUGCCAGGCAGAUGUUGUACCACUGAGCUAAAUUUCCGGCCCAGGCAUGUGUUUCUAAAUUUCCUGCAAUUUGUUAGAAGAAAAAACAAGGGAAACAAACAUGGUGGAGCCCAUGUGGAUCCAAAAUGGGCAGCCAGUCAUGUGACAAGACAAGAUGGCAGUUUUUAACUAAGAAACCUACAUGGUGCGUGUCCAUCACUCCACGUGGCCUCCAGACACACUCAAGAGACACGGAGCCUGGCCCACAGGACCUGAGAUGCACGAAGCAGCUGCUGGUGUAACACGGAGUUUACAGGAAAAAGUUUUUUUAUAAGUAGAAUGAGUACAUUUUAAUAACAAUAAAAAUAUAGUA
Molecule: long non-coding RNA, 578 nt
Organism: Chinchilla lanigera (long-tailed chinchilla)
Lineage: Eukaryota; Metazoa; Chordata; Mammalia; Rodentia; Chinchillidae
Exons: 3
Source: RefSeq, a predicted model, not a curated record